Long non-coding RNA from Cannabis sativa, 398 nucleotides. RefSeq lists it as uncharacterized. The record is from RefSeq and is a predicted model, not a curated record. NCBI's taxonomy places the organism in Eukaryota, Viridiplantae, Streptophyta, Magnoliopsida, Rosales, Cannabaceae. The transcript is spliced from 2 exons.
CUCACUCUACUAACAAACCCUAACCCUAGCAAAUUAAAGAUUAAUCUGCUGCCAUUGUUGUGACUGUCUUCUUCGUCAUGCUCACUCUGCAAGUGUCGGGCUUCCUUGAUUGGUGGUAGCGUUGUCGGAGUGUCCCAGAUGAUGAGAAGGAUGAAUGGGCGAGACUUCUGAUUGAUGGCUCUCUUUAGUACACAGCUCGGGAAAGAGUUAGAAAGAUCAUGGUUAUUCACUUUGGUCUAAAAUAAUUUGCAGGACAAUAUAUAUUGCCUUUGACAUUCAGUAGUAUACAAUUUAUAAUCUUUUGGAUCUGGUGUAAUGUGUUAUGCUCAUAAUUUUGCAAACAAUUAUUUUGAGCAUAAAUAUGGGAAUUGGACAUGAAUACUUAUACUUUUGAACAA